RNAcentral lists this small RNA (1209 nucleotides) under Pongo abelii (Sumatran orangutan). RNAcentral's name for it is "retained intron". Lineage: Eukaryota; Metazoa; Chordata; Mammalia; Primates; Hominidae. The record is from RNAcentral.
CAUCUCCAUGUGCACUCUCAUCUCUUGUAGUCAGCACCAGGUAUCCACAGGGAGGGCCCUACAUCAUCUGCUACCCUGAAGGAUCUGGAGAGCCCGUGCCAAGAACCAGCAGUAGUCCCAGACUCCAGGUCUGUAAAAAUCAGUCAACUGAAGAACACCAUCAAAUCUUUGGUAAGAGUCCAGUGGGGUCCCCUGAUUCCAUGCUGCCAAUCUUGGGCUCGUUUCCCCUUGGGGCCCUGAAGAAAGGGGCUGGGGGCCAAGGGCAAAUAGGGAGCUGGGGCACCCAGGCCUCACCUGGAGGGACCCCAGAACAUGCAGCAUGGCUCUUCUUUUGCUGCCCUCUUUGCCAACUCUCUCCUCUCCAGACACCCCUGCUCGAGUCCUUGCUACACACACCCUGGGGUUGUUGCCUCUCGGGGAACUGCUAGCCUGACUGGUUGUCAGGGGCCCCGUAUUUCUGCCAUGACUCAGUCCCUAAUUUGCUCUUUGAUUCUGGACAAGUCACCUCUCCUUUUUGGGCUCGUGUUUUGAGAGGAGGUAGUGAGUAUCAAAGGUCUCUGUCAGCUCUGAGAGUCCAAGAUUUAAAGGCCCCCUAGAAUGGAAACCUCAGGGCCAAGCGCUCCUGUCUGUCCUUUUCUGUCCUAUAUCUGCUGUGAAGAACUGUACCUGGCCCGUAUGUGCUCAGUAAAUGUUUAUUGAAUUAACGCACUUUUCUAAAUCACAAGCUGGCAGAAGGGGGGGUCUUUCUCAAACUCCAUCUCUAGAGGUUUAUGUUACUCUCCUCUCAAGAGAUUCCAGAUUCAGACUUUUGAGUUUUGUGGCUGUGGGUGAAAACCAACAAAGACCCAAAUCGUCUGUCCUUGGGAGCUUGAAGAGAGUUCACCAGUUCGUGUUCCCACUGGAUGUGAGAACUUUGCCUUUAAAAUCCAUUCCUGGUCCCUGCCUACCGCUUCCUGGUCUGGGGAAUAGAGCUGAGGGGGCCACCCUCCAUCACCUUAAUUUGACUCUCCCCACAGAAACAACAGAAGAAACAAGUGGAACAUCAGCUGGAAGAAGUAACAUGAUUUCUUUGUUUGCUCAUGACAUGACUGCUGGGUUUGGGGGGCACUCAGAUGUAGAGGCCCCAGUCUCAUCUCACCCACUCCCAGCUUGGGGAAGAAGGCUCACCCCUCAGAUUCCACCCCAUCCCCACAGGGUCCCUGGUAACCU